AGGGGGGGGUAAGCUAACGUAUCCUGCCUGGUAGCCCCGGAUGAAUAAUGGAAUCAAAGGGUGACACCUCCCGGAUAUUCUGUGUGCGCUGCUUGUUGGUUGUGGUGAAGAUGGCUCUCUAUCGGAGGUACCGGUGUGGGAUGGGCUCGCGGCUGAUGAGACAGCUCACGGGGUGAUGGACAACCAAGGCAGUGACGAGUGGCCGGGCUGAGAGGGUGACUCGUCACCUUGGGACUGAGACACGGACCACACUCCUACGGGAGGUCGCAAUGGGGAAUAUUGCUGAACGGGCAAACCCUGAGGCUGAAACACCUCUUUUGAUAGGAAAGCCUUCGUGUUGUUGCCUCUUACGACCGUGAGGAAGGAUUGCCCCUUGAAGGUUGCUUACACGAGAGGGGGCGCUAACUACCUGGCUAGCUCCGAGCUAAUACCUACGUUCAUACCUAUGCCCCGAUCUAUUUCGUGAAAAUAUUAAUCCAAAAGAUUUAAUAAAGUCUGAAGGUAAAGUCUGUGGGUUAAAUCCCUAUGGUUCAUUUGGGACUGUGUGAUGUGAAUGCGACAGCUUAGAUUGGGAUAUCCGUAGUACUGAGAACUGAAAUGCGUAGCAGAUGUGAUGCAAACCCUUCCGGCUGAACCCGCUCUCCGCGCUUGCAGUUCUCUA
This 661-nucleotide ribosomal RNA is filed under the name uncultured bacterium. RNAcentral describes it as "partial 16S ribosomal RNA". The record is from RNAcentral.